GAUGAAGAACGUAGCGAAAUGCGAUAAGUAGUGUGAAUUGCAGAAUUCAGUGAAUCAUCGAAUCUUUGAACGCACAUUGCGCCCCUUGGUAUUCCAUGGGGCAUGCCUGUUCGAGCGUCAUUUGUACCCUCAAGCUUUGCUUGGUGUUGGGUGUUUGUCCUCUCCUUUGCGUUUGGACUCGCCUUAAAGCAAUUGGCAGCCAGUGUUUUGGUAUUGAAGCGCAGCACAAUUUGCGAUUCUAACCGACUACACCUGCGUCCAUAAGCCUUUUUUAACUUUUGACCUCGGAUCAGGUAGGGAUACCCGCUGAACUUAAGCAUAUCAAUAAGCGGAGGA
RNAcentral lists this unclassified non-coding RNA (336 nucleotides) under soil metagenome. RNAcentral's name for it is "partial contains 5.8S ribosomal RNA, internal transcribed spacer 2, and large subunit ribosomal RNA". The stretch from base 1 to 120 matches the Rfam family "5.8S ribosomal RNA", at positions 35 to 154 of the family's 154-position model. The record is from RNAcentral.